Molecule: ribosomal RNA, 407 nt
Filed under: uncultured bacterium
Lineage: Bacteria
Description: partial 16S ribosomal RNA
Rfam family: Bacterial small subunit ribosomal RNA
Source: RNAcentral
UGGGGAAUAUUGCACAAUGGGCGGAAGCCUGAUGCAGCAACGCCGCGUGCGGGAUGACGGCCUUCGGGUUGUAAACCGCUUUCGCCUGUGACGAAGCGUGAGUGACGGUAAUGGGUAAAGAAGCACCGGCUAACUACGUGCCAGCAGCCGCGGUGAUACGUAGGGUGCGAGCGUUGUCCGGAUUUAUUGGGCGUAAAGGGCUCGUAGGUGGUUGAUCGCGUCGGAAGUGUAAUCUUGGGGCUUAACCCUGAGCGUGCUUUCGAUACGGGUUGACUUGAGGAAGGUAGGGGAGAAUGGAAUUCCUGGUGGAGCGGUGGAAUGCGCAGAUAUCAGGAGGAACACCAGGGGCGAAGGCGGUUCUCUGGGCCUUUCCUGACGCUGAGGAGCGAAAGCGUGGGGAGCGAACA